This 460-nucleotide ribosomal RNA is filed under the name uncultured bacterium. Its description in RNAcentral is "partial 16S ribosomal RNA". It matches the Rfam family "Bacterial small subunit ribosomal RNA", at positions 338 to 795 of the family's 1533-position model. The record is from RNAcentral.
CCUACGGGAGGCAGCAGUGAGGAAUAUUGGUCAAUGGGCGCAAGCCUGAACCAGCCAAGUCGCGUGAAGGAUGACGGCCCUACGGUUUGUAAACUUCUUUUAUAGGGGGAUAAAGGUAGGCACGUGUGCCUUUUUGUAUGUACUUUAUGAAUAAGCAUCGGCUAACUCCGUGCCAGCAGCCGCGGUAAUACGGAGGAUCCGAGCGUUAUCCGGAUUUAUUGGGUUUAAAGGGAGCGUAGGUUGGUUGUUAAGUCAGUUGUGAAAGUUUGCGGCUCAACCGUAAAAUUGCAAUUGAUACUGGCAGGCUUGAGUAUAGUUGAGGUAGGCGGAAUUCGUGGUGUAGCGGUGAAAUGCAUAGAUAUCACGAAGAACUCCGAUUGCGAAGGCAGCUUACUAAACUACAACUGACACUGAUGCACGAAAGCGUGGGGAUCAAACAGGAUUAGAUACCCUUGUAGUA